This is a long non-coding RNA of Spinacia oleracea (spinach), 9205 nucleotides long. RefSeq lists it as uncharacterized. The record is from RefSeq and is a predicted model, not a curated record. Lineage: Eukaryota; Viridiplantae; Streptophyta; Magnoliopsida; Caryophyllales; Amaranthaceae. The transcript has 9 exons.
CCUGCGUGUUCUAAUGAUCAUCCUCAAAUAUGUUACCCGUAAAUUACAAAAUCUUGCACAAAGUUCUUUCACUACUUCAAUUUCAAGAGGAAAGAGAUAAAUACAGUCUCAAAUUAUCUAAUUUUGUUCGUUGAAUAAAAAAUUGGGGUAUUUUUUUGCUCAUUUUCCAACUAUCCGUCACGCGAUUCACGCAUCAAUUGUUCUUGAGGACUUAGUGAGUGCAGUACAGCAGUUGGCCAGUUGUACUAUCAGUGAUGAAUAUUGAAGAGAAUGAGGCAGGGAUAUGGGAGAAUUGCAUGGCUUUUGCACAAAGAUGAUGCAAAAAACUUGAAAAAUAGUUUAGAAUAUCAGAUAUUGGUCCCUCCUUGUCUGUCCUCUUUUGGUAGAAUACUUAUUGUGACAAAUAUCAACUGAAUUGGACAGGGGCCGCGCGAACGCAGGCCCCCACUAUUACAAAUUAUGACGUACACUCUUCCUCUUGGGAAGAUGUUAGGCAGGCACCCCUCCAAAGUGCAAUGGAGGCCACCUACCUAGGCCAUGAGCCUAGUUGAUCGCACAUUGACCUCGUCCAGUGUAAGCAGGCUAUAAAGUUUCAGUAACUUACAUUCAAGUUUGGAUAUGGAAUUGGUUAGAGGUAGCGCGGACGCAGACCCCCACUGUCACAAAUCAUGACAUACACUCUUCCUCUUUGGGAAGAUGUUAAGCAGGCACCCCUCCUAAGUGCAAUGGAGGCCACCUACCUAGGCCAUGAGGCUUCUUGAUCACCCAUUGACCCUGUCCAGGUAAGUAUGUUUCCCAGUAUUCCACCCUAUCAAUUUAUGCCUAUGUUGCUAUUCUCACUUUUGUUUGUAUUGAUGUGGGACAAUAACCAAAUAUCCUAAGAAGUUUCUCCGAAUGUAACAAUCUAAUAGGUUGUAGUUUAUAUUUCACUUUAUGUGAUGAUAUAGGGUCAUCGAUUCUCAUACUGUAAGCUCUAAGCAGAAUCAUCUCCUAAUACUCAAUUAUCAUAUUUUGUUGUCAUGCUUUCUUUCAAGAAAGAAACUUUGCUAGUUGGUCUCGGUGGAACUUAAUCUUGCAUUUGAGAACAAUUUUAUGUAAGAAGUCAAGAAGGUGCUGUUAGUAUUAAAUUUUUCUGACAUGACCAUAUAGACAUUGUUGUAAUUAACUUCCUUGAUAGGAUUUAUACAGCAGAAAAUAAAGGAAGAAGAAGUUGAAUUUAAUUGAUAUAGAAAAUGUAAAUGAUGUUCAAUCUUUUGAGAGUCUUGAUUAGUUGAUUCUCUCCCUCUAAAAUUCCAUUAAGGCUCCCUCAAAAAUAAUUAAGUUAAGGCAGCUAAAAAACCUACUAAGGCAAACAUCGGAAAGGGAAUACAGAGUAUUGUUUUACGCAUAUAGGGAAUAUUAUUGCUUGAAUCCCCCUGUACCUAACAUCCCCUUAGUACUUAGGGUAGAUUUUGUUAAAUAUCAUAAAGGUAUUCAUUUUGUAGCUGAUUAGUUCUUCUGAUAUUGUUCAGCUAAACGCUUGUUUUGGAACAUCUCAAUUUAAGAGUCCCCCAUCCCGUAUGAUUUAUCUUUAUUCCCUUUAGAUUUUGGGCAUGAGAAGGUAUUUCGGUGGUUUUUGAGUUGGGUGGAUAGCUAUGGUGGUUUGCCGGAUGGCCAUAGUACAUAAAAUUAAGAAGUGGUACAUAAGGUGUUUGUGAUGGAAUAUGUGGUUAUACACCGCAAGUUACAUCUGCGAGACAGUGUUGCAUUAACGCUGACUAAUAGUAAUGGGGUGGAAAAUUGAUUUGUCAAUCCAGAUGGUUUUUAUGUUGUGUGGUCAAUCACGGUUCGAGGGUUAGUAGUCUGUAUGUUGUAUGUAUCUUUGUCCAGUGGGCUGUAGUAAGGUCUGGGAAAAGUGGAGAACAUAUGUUGUUCGAACUCCAUCCCAUAUUUAUGUUUUGGUUAGGUUUUGUUUCCCGUGGUGUUGCAGGAGGAGUGUUCCUCACUGCUGAUACUCGAGAAUAGAAGAUAGAAUUUAGGGAGAAAAGAAAUCAGACUUUAGAAAAAUAGAGAGAGAAAGAGAUUAGGAGAAUUUUGUAGAAUUUUAUUCAUAAUUAUCCAAAUGAUCAAUUGUCAUAUUUAUAUUACAAGUCUAAACUGAUCACAAAAGUUGAAUCACAAUUCAACUACUAACUGAAUUCUGUUACAAAAAUAACAGAAUGAAUUUGGCGCCAAAAGUCAACAGAAGUCAAAUGUUGACUUUUCUGUUAUUGACUAAUACUCCCUUAACAUUCCUCCCUGCUUAAAGAAACUUGUCCCAAGUUUCAUGGCACCACAAAAUGAGGAUAUUUUGACUCAAAUUCUGUAGCUACCUCCCAUGUUGCAUCACAUGAAGGGGCUUCAGCCCACUGAACCAGAUACUGUACUUGGGCAUGGUUCUGAAAUUUAACCACCCUCUUUUCAAAUGUUGACUUAAGCUAGAUGCACUUCAAUCUAAAACGAGAUUUCUGAUGUAAUCCACUAAUCCUUCAAUAUUUGAAUGGAGCAUGUAGUACUUGAUCCCAAGUCUAUCUUAAACUAAUCCAAUUACUUAAUAAGAUCUGUUUAGUCCUUUCUUUUUAAGUUGUAUUUAUUUCGGGAGUACUCAUUGUGAGGAUUGGUGUGUAUGUUAAGCGAAGCAAGAUUUGCGACUGUAUUUUCAGAAUUGGAGUCAUUACUCAUAUACUUGUUCCACUCUUAUUUAGUUCACACAUUUCUUUAGUCACGUUUCCCAAUGCACAUUUUUUAUCACUAAUAUCUAUCAUUAUGUGAAAGAUAAAAUUAUAAAAAGUUGAUAUUUUGAAAAUAUGUAUCAAAACGAGUUUAACAAUAUCACACAUGACUAUAUUUUACCUUGCGCAUAAAUAACAAAUUCCGGUCAAAGGAUGGUGUUUGAAUAGUUCUAAAGUCAAACUGUGUCAACUAAAUAAGAAUGGAGGAAAUCUUUGUGUACUUUUUAGUCUUGAUAGUUUGACCAUGCUAUUAUUGGAACUUACUACUCAUACGUAACUAUGAUUUUUAGGCUUUUGGGUUAUUCAAUUUUUUCAUUUAGGUCUUAACUAGUGUAUGCCCGUGCAUUAGCACGUGAUAUAUAAAAUAAAGAUUGUUAAUUAACUAAUCUUAUAGAAAAGGGAAGGAUUAAUAAUAAUAUUUGCAUCUAUCAAAACUAUGUUUAUCUAUGGAAUACUUUUCGCUAGUGUCUUGAUGUUCAUUUUUUUUUAACUUGCUAAAUCUUCACGUAACAAAAAAAAAUAUGUGUCCUUUAUCAGAGAAUGGUGUCUAGAAUUAAAUUCUCAUAAUAGGUGUACGGAUCCCCUAUUAAUUUAUCAUUGUUGGAAUCUACAAAAUUUUUCAAAUUGAGAAAAAGGUUGCAAAGAUGAAUAUAGAUGAGAGCCUCGUCAUAUCAUUGAUAGUCAUAUCCUAGUGCAGUAGUGUUAAUUCAAAAUAAUGGUACACAUAUUAACAUGAAAUAAAUAACUGAAGAAAAGCCCAUAUACAAGAUUCCACAAAAUUUGUUAAUUAAUUAAACUCAACAUGAGUAUAUCUUAAAUAUUCGCACAAUAAAAAGUACUAUUUAGUAGUUGGUGUGAGCAUUCGUGUCUCCGCAAAGUAGCAAAGGUCGAAUCUUCAUACCCUUGAACAUUUAACUGCAACUCUAGCUCUUAAUAAUUUGAUCAUCAAUUACAGAUGCAAUUGACAAAUGUUUUAUACUUCAAGUUGAGUACCGAAAUUAUCACAAGUCAUGCAAGAAAUUACUAUCUAAGUUGUGAUAUUGUUAAAAAUCAGAACAAACAAUAGAGAAAGAAGUGAAUAAACAAAAUCAUUACCCCGAAGUAACCCAACUAAUGAAUAAUUUAACCACCUCAUUUGAUAUAUAUACCUACGCAUAUAUAUUCCAUCGUGUGACUAAACAUAACAUGAUUAAAGAUCAAAUAUACACAUUUAAGGUAAAGUUAUUUCAUAGUAGUUCAAAGACAAAUCAUGAACGUUCUUCAAAAUCAUUAGAUAUGGUGGCCAAAUCCUUAUGUUUUCAAGUUGAAUAUAAGCAUUUCAUGAUAAUCCUCUCAAUAAUGGCAACAUUUCCUUUUCAUAUGUCUAUCAUGCAAGAGGCACACAGUAACCAACUAACCAUGCAAAAUAUUCAAGGAAAACUACCGCCGAAACUGUCGCUCGACCUUUUCCAUGUGGGUCAUGUAGUAAGGUUUUUAUAACAUAAUAGUAGUUCGUAUUAAUGAAUAUGGAAGAUUGAAUCAAGAUUAAGAAGUAUGAUUCUCAAAUAGAGUGAAGAUUAGAAAGAAAUAUAGAAGAAAAAAAACAAUUAUAUUUCAUAAAACAUAAGUAAACAUAAAAUUCCUCCUUACUUGAUUCCAUCUCUUGUUGUUUGCUCAUACUUAAGAUUUGAAGCACUCCUUCUGCACGACCCUAACUCAAAUAAAUAAACAAACAUAGAGCACAACAAACAUAGAGCACAACAAACUAUUUAAUCAACAUUAAAGAAAAGGGUGGUACAUUAGUUUAGAGAACAAUAUGAUUUUGGGCGUUGGUGGCAAAUUGGAAUUAACCCAGACGUACAUUCCACUAAGGAAAGAUUUGAUAGAAGUGUAGUACCACUUAUGCGCUUGUAUUGAAGAUGGAAGAAAACCAUAAACUAAAUACAACCAAACCCCGAAACAAAACCAACAUAUAACUUAUUAAGCAAAUAACUUAUGUUAUCAUCCCCGUAAAAAAAAACCUUAUGUUAACCUCAAUAGACAAACGUAAAUCAAUAGAAAUUAACGAAGACAUUGCACUGAUGUUGAUCCAAAGAUGCAAUGUAGGGCUUGUGUUUGUUGUUUGCAUGUUAGUGCUAUUUCAAGUGAUUAGACCAAGGUGGUAGUUGGAAGUGAUUGCGUGUCAUGGGCUCAUGGAAUUUGUGGGUUCCUAGGUAUGAUAGAGAAGUUGGCUUUCCAUUUAUGGGUUGAGACUUGAGAGAGAAGAUAAGUCGGUUUUUUGUUUCUUUAAAACUGAUUUUUAGAGUGUUUAAAAUUUGAAAUCUAGAGGUAUAAAUGGGUUUGUGGAGGGAGUGAAUGAGAAUGCUUAGAUGAGGUUUUGAAGGUCUCUCAUUAAAAUUGACAUUCUUAUUAUCAUAUAGGAUUUGGCAAAACUAGCAGGUAGCGUUUAGCGGUGGAGUAGCGGGUAGUUGUUGGAGUAGCGGGAAGCGGUCAAUAGUAGCGGAUUAGCGGGUAACGAUUAGAUGUCAAAGUAGCGGGUAACUAGUAUGAGUGUUUGGUACAAGUAGCGAUUCAGAUUGUAAAAUACAAUAAAAGCUUUAUAUAUAUAUUGUUUAAAACUUUAUUAUAAUUUUAUCAAAUGCUACUCGUUAUUUUCAAACGCUACUAUUUUUGACAUUUGACAAAAGCUACCCAACCCGCUAGCCGCUAACUCACAUGCUACCUCACCAAACACUUGCAAAUUUUACAAGCAGCGUUUUGAAUAGGUCAAAACGCUACCCGCUACCUCAAACGCUACCGCCGAACACGCCCUUUCAAUUUCCCGAGUUUGGGCACUCUGACAUGGAUACAACUUUAUGGACAGUUGGGCACUUGUCACUUCUUUUUUGGGUUAAAACACUAUAUAUUUUAAUUAUUUAGCUGGUCGGACACUUCUCUUUAGCAUCUUAGUAAGUGCAGGGAACGAGGGACUAAGAGGAUAUCCUUGAUUUACUUUCUUAAACCUUCAUCCUUUUGAAAUCUUGUUGUUCAAAUAUUUGGUCUUUAAUAAAUUCAGUAAUUGACCCUUGUGAUAUGCCAAUUAGGGGUCCACAUCAUGUUAGUGUUUGAUCAUUUCCUGUACCUUUGCUGUGUAUUUGCUCAAUUGUGGUGUCUUGUGAUUCUUGAGCAGUUGAGCGUAGGAUAUAAGCGUUGACUUACAAGUGUGUAACUAGGAGAGUUGCAUCAAUAUAUUUCUUGCUGGGCAAUGUUCAGAUAAUUUUCAUGCUUUUAGGUUUUCCUUAUUUUACAAGAAGCACAUUCGCUGAAUCACUGAUUCUAGAUUUGAGUAUAAGAUUAAGAUGUAAUAGAAAAGUAAGCUAGGUGGUUCCAAUGAGAUUUGGCAAGAUGUAUCCCUGACAUCUGUUAUUGUUGUUAUUCUGUUUUACUAAUGACUACUCCGUAUUAGGUUAUUGGAGUCUUGGACAUCUGUUUGUUUUUCUGGUUGCAGCCGCUAAAUUUCUCAGUCCCACAUUGGAAAGGUUUGAAUAAUUUUCUCCCUAUAUUAAGUUCUGGCUUCCUCUAAGUAUUGUCUCUUCGGAGACAUCUGAUAAAAUUGGAACGAUACAGAGAAGAUUAGCAUGGCCCCUGCGCACGGAUGACACGCACAAAUCGAGAAAUGGUCCAAUUUUUUUGGUCUUUUCAGUCUUUUUGGCUUAUGGAACUCACACCUUUAUGGCUUUCUCAAUCUUUUGGCUAUGAUCAAGUAUAGUAUUUGUUCUUAUCAGCUUGAUAUUUGAUGAUUGGGUCUCUCACUCAUAAUGAUACUAAAUUCAUUUUUUAGAGGAGGAUAUUUCCGGAUACUGGGAUCCUCAAGUCUGUCGUAUAGCCUGGCAUGCCCCACCAAAUCCAUACGAAUAUUUUAAAGCACGAAAUAUCAUGAUACCAUGUGUCAUUCCAUUGUUUGUAUAAAAAAAAGUUUAAAAAAAAAACAUCAUGCAUUGCCCUCUCUAUUCUUCUUAUCUAUCAUUUCCUCUUCCCCUUCUUAGAAAUUGAUUUUAUUUGUUUCACAUUCAAAUUUCAAUUUUGUCACACUUUAAAUCAUCAAUUAUGUUGUUUCAAAAUUUUCGUAUCCUCUCCUGGAUUACAUAGAUAACAUAAUCAUAUAUGAGUAUGACUAGUGUGUUUAUUUAUACUUGUACUAGAAUGGGAUGACAGUAUGCUUAAUAAGAAAUGUGCCAUUACAGGGUCCGUGACUUAAAUUUCUACUACAUCAAGUAUAAGAUAGAUUGGUCCCACAAAAACAUAUGAGGCUAAAGAAUUCACCCUAAGUGCUACUAAAGGCACCAUAUAUGAGGUUAAAUGCCAGGAUUGGCAGGGUGUCCUAAGUCUACUAUCUGAUGAUCUGAUUAACUAGGGUGAAUUCGUUGUAUUCUUAAUCUUGAGCGUUGAUUUAGUAAAUGGGGAGGAUCUUUAAUAUACUAUCAGCUCCUUUCUUUCUCUUUUGGGCUAUCUGAAACUUGAUAGCAAAUUACUCCUAUUUCUUAGGCAUAUAAUGCAGUAAGUCUUGAAUUCCUGGUAAAGGCAGGAGCCGAGUUCGCCGAGAUAAGUUCGCUAAGAUUUGGCUGCAAACAUCCCUUAGUGUGGCAAAUAAAUAUCUGAUCGCCCACUUUAGACUUGCAGCAGUUUUACUUCUGACUUUCUGAGUUCUGAUUAUGUCUAUUUAUCUGACCACAUACUGUAAUUCUCUUCAGGCAGCAGUAGAAGAUUUCCGGAGUAGGUGAUCCCACACUGAAUGGCUGAAGAAUGAGGUCGGAAAGAGAAAGAGUGCCAAACAACAACUGUUCAAGUACAACCCUUAUCAAGACCAAUCUGGGGAGGUUCCAAUUACAUUAUGGGAAAUCUUCUGCAGUUAGUCACCCACAUUGGCAGGUCAAAUAAAGGGCUGAAAUGACCAGAAAAUAAGUAGAGGUCCAGCACGUCAAAUGGCGAUCAUCUAUACUUAAAAAGUGCCAAAAUUUGAAGAUAUUAAGUCAGGCGGGACACUAGUUAUCAUCCACGUAUCAUAUUUUGACUGUCUCACUUGGAGAAGUGAUAGUUGAAGCUGGAAUGUCCGGAAAGAUAGAGGUAUGUAAGUUCUGUAUGAAGCACACUUACCUGGUUUUCUCAUUGGCCUGGCUAUACAAUCAAGUGUAGUAAUUGUUAUUCUGUAUCAGUUUAAUAUGUGUGUUGUCACAGUUAUAAUUACAUAAAUUGUUAAACUAUUUCAUGGGCUUGGUUGACCCCUUCUAAGUCAGGCACCGUCUGAUGUUAGAAGUGAAUUUCUUGGUGGUCUUUUGUAGGCCUAUGUCAUUUGAUGUGUAUGUUGUAUUCAACUGUGUUAGUUGACGGGGAUCACGAAAUACUUAAUGUCCUAAGUUGGAGUACUUAACAACUUUCACAGUGAAAACAUGUACACAACAAAGAGCUUCGAACUGCUUCAAACAGUUUUAACAAGGUCAAAUAGUUAUCGCAAGCUAAGUAUAAUAACAAGAGUUAUCUGAUUCCAGAAUUGUGAAUCUUUUGGCUGAACUUCCUUCUGCGAUGAUCCAACUUUUCUUGCUGUAUUUCGUCUAAUUGGUUCUGACGCCAGUCGCAAAAACCAUGUCCUUAGAAACCCUAGCUUCAUUGCAGAACCUCAAAGUUACCUAUUCCUGGUUAGUGACAAAUCAGAGAAUUUUCAGAAUGCGUAAGGAUAGCUUGGAAUGGGCGCUUAAUCUUGUCGAUGUCUUUAGUGGGUGGUUUAUUGAAAGAUUUGGUAACCUGAGUUCUUGUGGGGUUUGCAAAUUAUCAAGUUCUUGAGGAUUGAAUACUUGCAUAUUGUUGUAAAACUGCAGUAAUGAACAAUCUUUUGGGGGACAAACCAAAAUGGCGGGGCAAAUAAAAAGAGAUGGAGAGAGUAGCACUUUCAUGUUCCUUUUUAUUUUCCUUAUCCAUUUUCAUCCAACACCAUUGCCAUUGCUGUAUCCAUUAAAAUUGAGAAAACUAUGAUGAAAUUAGAUAGGGGCCGCGCGAACGCAGGCCCCUACUAUCACAAAUUAUGACAUACACUCUUCCUCUUGGGAAGAUGUUAGGCAGGCACCCCUCCUAAUGUGCAAUGGAGGCCACCUACCUAGGACAUGGGCCUUCUUGAUCGCCCAUUGACCCCGUCCAGAUUUAUGCGGGAUCGAAGAGGAUGUCAAUCUUUCGACUACAAUCAGACGAAUCAGACGGAAAUCAUAUUUAUCACGGCUACAACAGAUCUAAAGACCCCCUCGUCAAUGAAGGAUGUAAAUCAUAGCGAUAUAAAAGAGGGCAUACAGAAUGUUUGAUAUACUACGAUCGUAGCUAUGGUGAAAGGAAGUUUUUAUUUGAUUCGAUUGUUAUGUAUUUGUUAGAUUUAAAUCUUUAUGUAGAUGUCGUAUGUUAUCAAUGAAUUAAUUUGUUUAUCAAAAAAAAAACAAAAAACUAUUGCCAUUCGA